This 1358-nucleotide ribosomal RNA is filed under the name Arthrobacter sp. RNAcentral's name for it is "bacterial SSU rRNA". It matches the Rfam family "Bacterial small subunit ribosomal RNA", at positions 74 to 1442 of the family's 1533-position model. Lineage: Bacteria; Bacillati; Actinomycetota; Actinomycetes; Micrococcales; Micrococcaceae. The record is from RNAcentral.
GCCAGCUUGCUGGUGGAUUAGUGGCGAACGGGUGAGUAACACGUGAGUAACCUGCCCUUGACUCUGGGAUAAGCCUGGGAAACUGGGUCUAAUACCGGAUAUGACCUUCCAUCGCAUGGUGGUUGGUGGAAAGCUUUUGUGGUUUUGGAUGGACUCGCGGCCUAUCAGCUUGUUGGUGGGGUAAUGGCCUACCAAGGCGACGACGGGUAGCCGGCCUGAGAGGGUGACCGGCCACACUGGGACUGAGACACGGCCCAGACUCCUACGGGAGGCAGCAGUGGGGAAUAUUGCACAAUGGGCGCAAGCCUGAUGCAGCGACGCCGCGUGAGGGAUGACGGCCUUCGGGUUGUAAACCUCUUUCAGUAGGGAAGAAGCCGCAAGGUGACGGUACCUGCAGAAGAAGCGCCGGCUAACUACGUGCCAGCAGCCGCGGUAAUACGUAGGGCGCAAGCGUUAUCCGGAAUUAUUGGGCGUAAAGAGCUCGUAGGCGGUUUGUCGCGUCUGCCGUGAAAGUCCGGGGCUCAACUCCGGAUCUGCGGUGGGUACGGGCAGACUAGAGUGAUGUAGGGGAGACUGGAAUUCCUGGUGUAGCGGUGAAAUGCGCAGAUAUCAGGAGGAACACCGAUGGCGAAGGCAGGUCUCUGGGCAUUAACUGACGCUGAGGAGCGAAAGCAUGGGGAGCGAACAGGAUUAGAUACCCUGGUAGUCCAUGCCGUAAACGUUGGGCACUAGGUGUGGGGGACAUUCCACGUUUUCCGCGCCGUAGCUAACGCAUUAAGUGCCCCGCCUGGGGAGUACGGCCGCAAGGCUAAAACUCAAAGGAAUUGACGGGGGCCCGCACAAGCGGCGGAGCAUGCGGAUUAAUUCGAUGCAACGCGAAGAACCUUACCAAGGCUUGACAUGAACCGGACCGCUGCAGAAAUGUGGUUUCCCCUUUGGGGCUGGUUUACAGGUGGUGCAUGGUUGUCGUCAGCUCGUGUCGUGAGAUGUUGGGUUAAGUCCCGCAACGAGCGCAACCCUCGUUCUAUGUUGCCAGCACGUGAUGGUGGGGACUCAUAGGAGACUGCCGGGGUCAACUCGGAGGAAGGUGGGGACGACGUCAAAUCAUCAUGCCCCUUAUGUCUUGGGCUUCACGCAUGCUACAAUGGCCGGUACAAAGGGUUGCGAUACUGUGAGGUGGAGCUAAUCCCAAAAAGCCGGUCUCAGUUCGGAUUGGGGUCUGCAACUCGACCCCAUGAAGUCGGAGUCGCUAGUAAUCGCAGAUCAGCAACGCUGCGGUGAAUACGUUCCCGGGCCUUGUACACACCGCCCGUCAAGUCACGAAAGUUGGUAACACCCGAAGCCGGUGGCCUAACCCC